RNAcentral lists this ribosomal RNA (497 nucleotides) under uncultured bacterium. Its description in RNAcentral is "partial 16S ribosomal RNA". It matches the Rfam family "Bacterial small subunit ribosomal RNA", at positions 28 to 507 of the family's 1533-position model. The record is from RNAcentral.
GAUGAACGCUGGCGGCGUGCCUAAUACAUGCAAGUCGAGCGAACGGACGAGUAGCUUGCUUCUCUGAUGUUAGCGGCGGACGGGCGAGUAACACGUGGAUAACCUACCUAUAAGACUGGGAUAACUUCGGGAAACCGGAGCUAAUACCGGAUGAUAUUUUGAACCGCAUGGUUCAAAAGUGAAAGACGGGCUUGCUGUCACUUAUAGACGGAUCCGCGCCGCAUUAGCUAGUUGGUAAGGUAACGGCUUACCAAGGCAAAGAUGCGUAGCCGAACUGAGAGGGUGAUCGGCCACACUGGAACUGGGACUCGGUCAAGACUCCUACGGGAGGCAGCAGUAGGGGAUCUUACGAAAUGGGCGAAAGCCUGACGGAGUACCGCCGAGUGAGUGAUGAAGGUCUUCGGAUCGUAAGACUCAGUUAUUAGGGAAGAACAUAUGUGUAAGUAACUGUGCACGUAUUGACGGUAACUAAUCAGAAAGCCACGGCUAACUACGUG